GAAACUAGGUCUGACUUUGCUCUGCCAUUGGCUAAGAAUGCUGGAAUCAAGGAAGGAGUUCUUGUGCCUGGAAAUGGUGUAGAGAGAUUUUUGGAUUUUCUGAUUAACCCAGCAGAGUUACUUUCUCGAGUAAAACAAAUUGCGGAAAUUAUUGCCGUUACUAAUACGCUGGACCUGGAAAUCUUGAAGGCUCGGCUUUCAGCCUUUCAUCUAGCAAGAGGAGGUUAUAAGUUACCUAAGUAUGAAGAACCCCUGCCAGUUCCUGGGCUUGAAGAUAGUUCAAUGGAUGAAAGAGUAGAUGUAGGUAACAUUCAGGGUGGAGUGGAAGCACAUGUCCAAGGGCCAUCCGAAGACGACUACUCUACUGUGCCAACGAACCCAGAGUCUCGUGAACUGAGUUACUCUCAUGAGAUUUCAGGACAUAGGUCGACUCAUAGGAUUAAACAGAAAAGCAUUGCUGAAAUUUUGAGGGAAAACGAAGUUGUUAGUACCAAAAGCAAGGAGGAAGGUACAAUGGAAAAAAUGAAGGUUAAAAGUAAGAGGAAAAGCAGUGAGGAUGCAGUGGCUUCUAAACCAUUGCAGAAGAGGAAAGAAUCACUCCCGAGCACUGAUAGAAAUUUGACAAAUGCUGCAAAUGAUGUCAGUAUUGGCAAGGUAAAAAGAGAUAAGGGCACACCAUCACAGUUGAAGGAGAAGAAAGAAGCUUUUGGGAAUGAAAACAAUAGAAGUGGGAGGAAAAAGAAGCCUAAAGAAGGGAAUCCCAAAGAACAAAAUGAGAAGGGUUCUUUGUCAAGAGAAAGGAAGAAAAGCAAGUACUUGUCCCCUCCCUUCACUGCUCCAGCCAAAGGGCAGAGGAAGGAAGACUUAGAUAAAGAAUCCCAUAAUGAUUCUGACAAAGCUCAUGUUUCUGAAGCAAUGCCCAGAGCAGGCAACCAGUUUCAUAAGUCCCCUGAACCUCCAAAAUUUAACGGUGAGGCAGUUCAUAAGUCCCCUGAAAGUUCAAACUACCAAACAUCAGAAGACAAUAACAAGGUUAUUGAUCCAGCAAAAGUAGAGACUCCUGCAGUGGAAGUUUUAUCCAAAGUUCGCCAUGCAGCUAUAAAUCCAUUAGUACCUGGGGAAAUCAGUUCUCUUGAAAAUUUUGUGGACUUUGUUUCUGUCUUUAGAAGCUCAUUGUAUCAGGAAGGAUCCUACUACAAGGUAUACAAGAAGCACCAACGUGGCAGGAAGAGAAAGAACCCAGAAUCUGAACUUAGGAAGCUGAAGAAAGAUGAAAAGCAAACCAAUCAGAUAUCACCUAAUGACGUUUCUGAGCCGAGAAAGCGAAGAAGGAAGGAAACAAUGUCUGGAGUACCUGAAGAUCAGAAGCAAGCUGCUGAAGCUAAGGCUGUCAAAGGGAGUGAUGAAAAUGUUUCAUCAGUUGCACUUUUGGUCUCAUUUGAGCCUGGAUCCUCUCUGCCUUCAAAAUCUGACCUUAUCACACUGUAUAGCAAGUUCGGGGCGCUGAACGAAUCGGCAACAACUGUAUUCUCUAGUAAUUACUCUGCUCAAGUGUCUUUUCUGAAAGCUUCUGAUGCCAAAAUAGCCUUGAACCAUUCGCAAAGUGCAAGCCCUUUCGGAUCUUCCAAAGUCAGAUUCAAGCUCAGUUACCUUUCUGCUGAAUCCAAGUCUGCGAAAAAGGGCGAAAAAUCAAAGUCCAAAGCAUCUCAGGUUAAGGAGAAAGAUAAGACUCCAACCAAGCCAUCUGAUUCGUUGUCCCCGAAGAAGGAAGCAUCCCAAUUGAACCACAUAAAGCAGAAGCUCGAGUAUCUGUCUUCGAUACUUGAAGCAUCAAAUGGGAAAUCACAAGCUAUGGAGACAAAAUUGAAGAGCGGGAUUAAAGAGCUUUUGGAGGACGUGAACAAAAUGGUUGACUCAUCAUCAUCAUAGAUCGUAAUACAUGGAAUAUUGGUAAAGUGAUACAUAUGUAGCUAAUAAUCAGCUUAGGUUUAAGAUUUGUUGUUUUCUUUAGAGGUUUCUGUUUGUUUCGUUUUUGUGCUUAGAUUUAUUUCAGAGGAAAAUUUUUUCAUUUUCUUGUGUAGAGUAUGUAAUAUGUUGUAUGCAUAGUCUGUAUAAACCAAAAAGCCUUUUAGAUCAUCGUGUCUGUUAUCAUAGUGAUGAAAACAGCUUUUAAAGGAUCAUUUCUUUUAACCUGACUCUCACUCGUGUGUGAAGAAACAAUUGAUUCCUUUUAUGGUAUCAUUUUUAUUUUUUGAUGCAUUGGCAGUUGACUAGACAAAGAGACGUGGAACAUAUUUGUAGAAAUAUGUAGUUUUCAUUUCUCGUUUGGCCUUGCCAUAUAUAGGCAAGUUGAACAUCCCUUUUAUUUUUAUUGUUUCUUCUAUUAUGUCGAUUGGGUUAUAUAUAAUAUCAGAGAAGCAGUUAUAUUAUUGGAAACUUUAUAAAGGUAUGCCACUGUGGUAGUGUACUAGUGUACCUUUGUGUGGUGUCAUACCCUUGUGAUACGACGUAUGGAGUAUGGACUACGGAUCGGUGAGGUAUUUUUGGUCUUUUUUUUGUUUUUGGGUUUUUCAACUUCAUUUAAGUUUAGUUUAACUUGAGAGCUUUUCAUUCUAUCGUAAAAAAAUACAGCCGCUCAUAUAAUGAAUCAAAGUUACAUAUCAUUAAUUGAAUGGAUAUCCACAUCCAUAUCACAAUACUUUUUAGAAUAUGUUUUUGUCAUUUUUAUCUCUUAAAGUCUUAAUAAUAUUACUAAUUUUGGGAACUUUUUUGUAAAAUUUUUUAAGUUACUCAAAAAUUAAAUACUUUACCAUGUUUAAAAGAAAAAAAAAAAAGAAAAAACUAUGUAAAAAACCUAGUCACGUGAUAGUGACUUCGUGUGCUACCCUGCUCCUUCGGGUUAGGGACGAAAAAGAAAUGACGACUCCUAAAUCAAGUCACUAAUGGUUGUAGAAAAAAACAGACGAAUUAAAGGUGAGAUGAAAAUUAUUCGACCUUCUCCACCGCUUAGCCGCAACCGUGACGACAGUUCCAACUUCCAAGAGAAACUCAAAGUUCUCCCCAUUAUCUCGUUAGUUCACGAGAUAAACAACUUUAUAUUCGAGAAUUUGCUACAUCUCUCACAGUUUGAUAAACUUGACUGUGACUUUGACUUCAUCUUCUGUUUUUAUUGUUAAUAAAUAUAAAUAAUAACAACUAUUAAUUAAUUAAUCAUAUAAAAAGUUAAAAAUUUUAUCUUGUCCAAGAAUCACAUUCCUCAUCCAUCUCCUAUGCCUCUCUGAUCAGAUUAUAAAGUCAAUGGUUUCGAUUUGAGAAUUGGCACAAGUCAUAAUAAUCUUCUUUGCAACCCUAACUUUUGUUCUUCAGGUAUACUUAUUUUAUUUCCUCUGUUAUGCUUAUGUUCAUUGAUAUUUGAUUCUUGUUUAGUGCAUAUAUUUAAAAUUAUUUUAUUACAUUUUUGGGGCUAGUAUUUCUUUUUCUUCUUUUUUCUUUUUCCCGUAAUUAGUAGUGAGUAAUAUUUUUUUCUUCUCCAUAAUUCCAUUUCUUGCAACCAAAACCCUAGAAUGUGUUGAUUUUCUUUCCUGUUCUCGCAGGAUAGGUUGAUUUUAGUAUUUUACCCAUCAAAAGAGAACAAUAUAUAAUUUCUUUGAUGGGCACGGUAGAGACACCAUCGAAAAACCCAGCUGGGUGUUCAUCUCCUUCGCCAGAAAAUGACAAGAAUGAGCUCAGAGAAGCUCUUUGUGCUCUGAAAGGAGGAGCAAUAGAAAACGGAGUAGGUUUUUCAAGUCAUGGAAGCCAAGGUGAUGAUGAUGAUGGUGGUGGAGGUGGUGUUGAAUUGGUUAAGAACAGGGUUAGGUGUGGCUCUGUUGGGAGAGAAGUGGAAGAUGGUUGUCAAGGUUUGGCUGAUUCGGAGAUGAAUGGGGUCUCCUCUUUGUUGAAAAUGAAAGGAAGUGGGAGACGGUUGACGUAUUCCUUUGGAAGUGAUAGUGGAGAUUCUGAGAAGUUGAACUAUGGAAGUGGUGGUUCUUUUGGUGUUGGAAUGGAAAGAGGAAGAAAAUAUUGGAAGAGAAGUGAAGAAGAAGGUGAUCAAUUUGGAAAAAUUGUGAGUAAAGAUGUUCCGGUUACUGAGACAAGUGAGAAUAGGGACUUGGAUGUGGAAGAUUUGGGUGAAGAAGGACAUGGGUUUUCUGUUGGUGAUUUUGUUUGGGGUAAAAUUAAGAGUCAUCCUUGGUGGCCUGGCCAAAUUUAUGACCCUUCAGAUGCAUCGGAUUUUGCUUUGAAGUUAAGACAGAAGAACAGACUCCUUGUGGCCUACUUUGGGGACGGAACCUUUGCUUGGUGCCAUCCUUCUCAAUUGAAGUUGUUUCGGGAGAACUUUCAGGAUAUGGUGAAGCAGAGUAGCUCAAGGUCUUUUGUCAAUGCUGUGCAGGAAGCUGUAAAUGAAGUGGGGAGGCUGGUAGAGAUCAAAACAAAUUGUUGUCCAUGUGCUUCGGAGGAAACUAGGUCUGACUUUGCUCUGCCAUUGGCUAAGAAUGCUGGAAUCAAGGAAGGAGUUCUUGUGCCUGGAAAUGGUGUAGAGAGAUUUUUGGAUUUUCUGAUUAACCCAGCAGAGUUACUUUCUCGAGUAAAACAAAUUGCGGAAAUUAUUGCCGUUACUAAUACGCUGGACCUGGAAAUCUUGAAGGCUCGGCUUUCAGCCUUUCAUCUAGCAAGAGGAGGUUAUAAGUUACCUAAGUAUGAAGAACCCCUGCCAGUUCCUGGGCUUGAAGAUAGUUCAAUGGAUGAAAGAGUAGAUGUAGGUAACAUUCAGGGUGGAGUGGAAGCACAUGUCCAAGGGCCAUCCGAAGACGACUACUCUACUGUGCCAACGAACCCAGAG
Molecule: long non-coding RNA, 4879 nt
Filed under: Arachis ipaensis
Lineage: Eukaryota; Viridiplantae; Streptophyta; Magnoliopsida; Fabales; Fabaceae
Description: long non-coding RNA (AIPA_LNC001572)
Source: RNAcentral